UUAAAUUGAAGAGUUUGAUCAUGGCUCAGAUUGAACGCUGGCGGCAGGCCUAACACAUGCAAGUCGAACGGUAACAGGAAGCAGCUUGCUGUUUCGCUGACGAGUGGCGGACGGGUGAGUAAUGUCUGGGAAACUGCCUGAUGGAGGGGGAUAACUACUGGAAACGGUAGCUAAUACCGCAUAACGUCGCAAGACCAAAGAGGGGGACCUUCGGGCCUCUUGCCAUCGGAUGUGCCCAGAUGGGAUUAGCUUGUUGGUGGGGUAACGGCUCACCAAGGCGACGAUCCCUAGCUGGUCUGAGAGGAUGACCAGCCACACUGGAACUGAGACACGGUCCAGACUCCUACGGGAGGCAGCAGUGGGGAAUAUUGCACAAUGGGCGCAAGCCUGAUGCAGCCAUGCCGCGUGUAUGAAGAAGGCCUUCGGGUUGUAAAGUACUUUCAGCGGGGAGGAAGGGAGUAAAGUUAAUACCUUUGCUCAUUGACGUUACCCGCAGAAGAAGCACCGGCUAACUCCGUGCCAGCAGCCGCGGUAAUACGGAGGGUGCAAGCGUUAAUCGGAAUUACUGGGCGUAAAGCGCACGCAGGCGGUUUGUUAAGUCAGAUGUGAAAUCCCCGGGCUCAACCUGGGAACUGCAUCUGAUACUGGCAAGCUUGAGUCUCGUAGAGGGGGGUAGAAUUCCAGGUGUAGCGGUGAAAUGCGUAGAGAUCUGGAGGAAUACCGGUGGCGAAGGCGGCCCCCUGGACGAAGACUGACGCUCAGGUGCGAAAGCGUGGGGAGCAAACAGGAUUAGAUACCCUGGUAGUCCACGCCGUAAACGAUGUCGACUUGGAGGUUGUGCCCUUGAGGCGUGGCUUCCGGAGCUAACGCGUUAAGUCGACCGCCUGGGGAGUACGGCCGCAAGGUUAAAACUCAAAUGAAUUGACGGGGGCCCGCACAAGCGGUGGAGCAUGUGGUUUAAUUCGAUGCAACGCGAAGAACCUUACCUGGUCUUGACAUCCACAGAACUUUCCAGAGAUGGAUUGGUGCCUUCGGGAACUGUGAGACAGGUGCUGCAUGGCUGUCGUCAGCUCGUGUUGUGAAAUGUUGGGUUAAGUCCCGCAACGAGCGCAACCCUUAUCCUUUGUUGCCAGCGGUCCGGCCGGGAACUCAAAGGAGACUGCCAGUGAUAAACUGGAGGAAGGUGGGGAUGACGUCAAGUCAUCAUGGCCCUUACGACCAGGGCUACACACGUGCUACAAUGGCGCAUACAAAGAGAAGCGACCUCGCGAGAGCAAGCGGACCUCAUAAAGUGCGUCGUAGUCCGGAUUGGAGUCUGCAACUCGACUCCAUGAAGUCGGAAUCGCUAGUAAUCGUGGAUCAGAAUGCCACGGUGAAUACGUUCCCGGGCCUUGUACACACCGCCCGUCACACCAUGGGAGUGGGUUGCAAAAGAAGUAGGUAGCUUAACCUUCGGGAGGGCGCUUACCACUUUGUGAUUCAUGACUGGGGUGAAGUCGUAACAAGGUAACCGUAGGGGAACCUGCGGUUGGAUCACCUCCUUACCUUAAAGAAGC
RNAcentral lists this ribosomal RNA (1556 nucleotides) under Escherichia coli. RNAcentral's name for it is "bacterial SSU rRNA". It matches the Rfam family "Bacterial small subunit ribosomal RNA". Lineage: Bacteria; Pseudomonadati; Pseudomonadota; Gammaproteobacteria; Enterobacterales; Enterobacteriaceae. The record is from RNAcentral.